CUACUAAUAUCUAAGCUUUGAUCGUCGACCGAGGUUGAUAGUUGAUAUCAAAUUUUGUGAGCUCCACUGCCCAUUUUGCUAUCCUCCCGAAAGCAUCCGCUCGAUGCAGAAUCGCCUUGAUCGGUUGGUCAGUGAGCAAUGUUAUGGUGUGCCUUUGAAAGUAAGGUCGGAGCCUUCGAGCUGUAAUCAAUAAGGCGUAAGUUAGUUUCUCUAACUUAGUGUAUCUGGUUUCGGCGUCUCUCAAUACUCAGCUUAUGUAGUAGAUCGACUGUUGAAUUUUUGUUUUUUCCUUAACCAG
RNAcentral lists this long non-coding RNA (298 nucleotides) under Elaeis guineensis (African oil palm). RNAcentral describes it as "long non-coding RNA (EGUI_LNC046507)". Lineage: Eukaryota; Viridiplantae; Streptophyta; Magnoliopsida; Arecales; Arecaceae. The record is from RNAcentral.